CUCAAAGUAUUAACUGGGUACCGUGAACUGUGCACAGUGUCAGACACACAUGCUCAGCAUGGAUGUCCCACAAGCACCCCAUGAAGCAGAUCUCAUUAGCCAGCUUACACAUGAGGGCACCGAGGCUGAGAGAGAUCCAGUGCCUAUUUCAACGUCUCCUGCCAUUCUUGGGUGUUUGGGUUGGGACUCAAAUCCAACUCCACGUGACCCCAAAGCCUGUGCUCCCAGCUUGUUCUAGUGCCCAGCAUGUGAUGGGGCUUUGGAGAGAAGGGGUGUGGAGGUGGGUGGGUGCUUGAUGCCUAAUGCAGAGCACGAGUCAAGUCAGACUCCUUCCUUGGUCAGUCCCCAGAGCAGAGCCCCAGGAUGGGGGUGGAGGGAGGAGGCUCCCGUGGGAACCAAGCCAAGUCUUGAGAAAGACUCUGGGUGUAUUUUAGCGUGAAGUGAUUCUUCAAGGGGCCAGAUUUAGUGUUUCCCAGGUUGGAGGGAGGCAGGCACGGUGCAUUAAAAAUGACAGUGAGGAGUGUAAAUCAUCAGGCAUGGCCGCUUAGGUUUAUACACGUCGUCCGUAAUUCUGGCUCUGUUCCGGUUGUGAUCAGAAAUGAAAUACGGGCAAGCUGUGCCCGUUAUCGUGUACGGGCCUGGCGUCUUCCGGCUUAUUUAUCCUUCCUAAUCCAUUUGGCAAUGUCCAGGCCGCCAAAAAGCCGCCUGCCAUAAUGCCUCCUGGAUGUUUUUCAGCGGAGGAUCGUCCCUCCUCCCUGCCCUGCUCGGAGACAGCCGAGAGUCUGUGACUGUGGUGCACGGAGGCAGGGCCGAGAGCGCCCAGUGGACUCAGACACAGUUCCCUCUGCGUCUGAGAGCAAAGGGGCUCGGCGAUGAACUCGCUGCAUGACCUGCAGGGCCUCUGAGCCGCUCGGAGUCUCCCUUCCCAUCCGGGAUUGCCCUUGUCACACCCGUGCCAGCUCCAGCUCCAGCAUGGCUGCCAGACACAGAGAGCAGACACUGCCGCAAAGGUGCCUUGGGUUCACGGGAGAGAGAUGCCUGUCUGGUCUCUGCCAGCACCAGAAGGAAGACACAUCGGUCAGAGUAGGAGUUCAGCUAAGGACAGACCAGACCUUGGCCUGCUCUAGCUCCCAGGCGAGGCCUUCUUGGGGUUCUCCAGUAUUGGGAGCAAAUCAGAGCCUGGCUCUGGUGCCCAAGAGUGUGCCUGGUGCCCAGUGGGAGCUAUAGUUCUUAUUAUUUUGGGCACAGGGCUUCAUUCAGAAAGUGGAUGCGUGUAAUUAUAGCAAAGUUAUGAAUACUGUGAUCCUUUUCAUUUCUGUAACUAUGACUUCCAGACACCUGCUCCAUUCAAGAGAAAAAAAAAAAAUAGGUUUAGUUUGAAAAGUGCUUCUUCUGAAACAUGCAGUACCGAAUCUCUUCCGCUGAGGACGCGCCUCGAGGGAGGGCAGCGGCCGGGAGGGAAGGUGGGAGAGCUGAGGUGGGACGAGCUGCAUCCCCUCUUCCUGGGCGGGGGGCGCACUGUCCAGACCUAGGCCCAGGGUCAAUAACACGUGGCCACAGUCCUGACAGAAUAUUUUGCAUUCCUCACAGUGACAUCCAUGGAAAAAAAAUUUUUUUUUUUUUUUGCCUGCUUUUUAGGGCCGCACCCACAGCAUGUGGAGGUUCCCAGGCUAGGGGCUGAAUCAGCGCUGUAGCUGUUGGCCUACGCCACAGCCAUGCAGGAUCUGAGCUGCCUCUGAGACCUACACCACAGCUCACGGCAACGCCAGAUCCUUAACCCCCUGAGCGAGGCCAGGGAUUGAACCCAAAACCUCGUGGUUCCUCGUCAGACUUGUUUCCGCUGUGCCACAACGGGAACUCCCAUGGAAAGUUUUAAAUCCCAUGAAAAUGCCGAUGUAAAAAUAUUGAGUGAGAGGAAUUCCCGUCGUGGCGCAGUGGUUAACGAAUCCAACUAGGAACCAUGAGGUUGCGGGUUCGACCCCUGGCCUUGCUCAGUGGGUUAAGGAUCCGCCGUUGCCCUGAGCUGUGGUGUGGGUCGCAGAUUCGGCUCGGAUCCCUCGUUGCUGUGGCUCUGGCGUGGGCCAGUGGCUACAGCUCUGAUUAGACCCCUCUCCUGGGAACCUCCAUAUGCUGCAGGAGCAGCCCUAGAAAAGGCAAAAAAAAAAAAAAAAAAAAAAAAAUUGAGUGAGAAAACCAGAUGAUCCUGACUUCCUAAAAACUGACAACAUUUCUCACAUUUUAAAAAACCAUGGAAUUUCAUUUCUCUCCAAGAUGGAGUAUUAGGGACUGUAAAACGAUAGAAAAAUAAAUUAACGACACAGACUAGGGAGCCCCA
RNAcentral lists this long non-coding RNA (2335 nucleotides) under Sus scrofa (pig). RNAcentral's name for it is "lncRNA (ENSSSCG00060062901.1)". The record is from RNAcentral. Lineage: Eukaryota; Metazoa; Chordata; Mammalia; Artiodactyla; Suidae.